Molecule: long non-coding RNA, 326 nt
Organism: Seriola aureovittata
Lineage: Eukaryota; Metazoa; Chordata; Actinopteri; Carangiformes; Carangidae
Exons: 3
Source: RefSeq, a predicted model, not a curated record
CACAGCAGUAUAUCACUAAGCUUGUGUGCCGGUGCUCCCGGCUGCUUCUCUAAACUGACAGGGCGCCGAUCCGAAUCGACUGAAGAGGCUCUUUUUGGAAGGAUGGUGACAGCGCCCUCAGCCACGUCCUCCUGGUCUUGAAUCGGGGAGUUUUUGGCACCCCAGCUGUCGGAGCCAACAAACAGGAAGUGCCCUGUCAGGUUGGCCUUUUUGGCAGUCUGCAACACCCGCCUGGAAGAGGAAGGUGUGGAGCAGAGUUUGACUCACUUGAUGUCGUCCUCGUUGGCAAAGAUGAUGACCCCACGAGCAUUAGAGGUUUCCAUGAG